AUUGAACGCUGGCGGCAGGCCUAACACAUGCAAGUCGAGCGAGCGGCGGACGGGUGAGUAAUGUCUGGGAAACUGCCUGAUGGAGGGGGAUAACUACUGGAAAAGGUAGCUAAUACCGCAUACCAUCAGAUGUGCCCAGAUGGGAUUAGCUAGGAGGUGGGGUAACGGCUCACCGAGGCGACGAUCCCUAGCUGGUCUGAGAGGAUGACCAGCCACCCUGGAACUGUGACACGGUCCAGACUCCUACGGUGUACAGCAGUGGGGAAUAUUGCACAAUGUGCGCAAGCCUGAUGCAGCCAUGCCGCGUGUGUGAAGAAGGCCUUCGGGUUGUAAAGCACUUUCAGCGGGGAGGCGUUACCCGCAGAAGAAGCACCGGCUAACUCCGUGCCAGCCGCCGCGGUAAUAC
Molecule: ribosomal RNA, 406 nt
Filed under: uncultured bacterium
Lineage: Bacteria
Description: partial 16S ribosomal RNA
Rfam family: Bacterial small subunit ribosomal RNA
Source: RNAcentral